This 550-nucleotide ribosomal RNA is filed under the name uncultured Serratia sp. RNAcentral describes it as "bacterial SSU rRNA". It matches the Rfam family "Bacterial small subunit ribosomal RNA", at positions 932 to 1482 of the family's 1533-position model. Lineage: Bacteria; Pseudomonadati; Pseudomonadota; Gammaproteobacteria; Enterobacterales; Yersiniaceae. The record is from RNAcentral.
GUGGAGCAUGUGGUUUAAUUCGAUGCAACGCGAAGAACCUUACCUACUCUUGACAUCCAGAGAACUUUCCAGAGAUGGAUUGGUGCCUUCGGGAACUCUGAGACAGGUGCUGCAUGGCUGUCGUCAGCUCGUGUUGUGAAAUGUUGGGUUAAGUCCCGCAACGAGCGCAACCCUUAUCCUUUGUUGCCAGCGGUUCGGCCGGGAACUCAAAGGAGACUGCCAGUGAUAAACUGGAGGAAGGUGGGGAUGACGUCAAGUCAUCAUGGCCCUUACGAGUAGGGCUACACACGCGCUACAAUGGCAUAUACAAAGAGAAGCGACCUCGCGAGAGCAAGCGGACCUCAUAAAGUAUGUCGUAGUCCGGAUUGGAGUCUGCAACUCGACUCCAUGAAGUCGGAAUCGCUAGUAAUCGUAGAUCAGAAUGCUACGGUGAAUACGUUCCCGGGCCUUGUACACACCGCCCGUCACACCAUGGGAGUGGGUUGCAAAAGAAGUAGGUAGCUUAACCUUCGGGAGGGCGCUUACCACUUUGUGAUUCAUGACUGGGGUG